GAUGAAGAACGUAGCGAAAUGCGAUAAGUAAUGUGAAUUGCAGAAUUCAGUGAAUCAUCGAAUCUUUGAACGCACAUUGCGCCCUCUGGUAUUCCGGGGGGCAUGCCUGUUCGAGCGUCAUUAUAACCACUCAAGCUCUCGCUUGGUAUUGGAGUUCGCGAUCUCGCGGCUCCUAAAAUCAGUGGCGGUGCCUGUCGGCUCUACGCGUAGUAAUACUCCUCGCGAUUGAGUCCGGUAGGUUUACUCGCCAGCAACCCCCAAUUUUUACAGGUUGACCUCGGAUCAGGUAGGGAUACCCGCUGAACUUAAGCAUAUCAAUAAGCGGAGGA
Molecule: unclassified non-coding RNA, 329 nt
Filed under: soil metagenome
Description: partial contains 5.8S ribosomal RNA, internal transcribed spacer 2, and large subunit ribosomal RNA
Rfam family: 5.8S ribosomal RNA (bases 1-120)
Source: RNAcentral